GAUGAACGCUGGCGGCGUGCCUAAUACAUGCAAGUCGAGCGAACGGACGAGAAGCUUGCUUCUCUGAUGUUAGCGGCGGACGGGUGAGUAACACGUGUAUACCCUACCUAUAAGACUGGGAUAACUUCGGGAAACCGGAGCUAACACCGGAUAAUAUUUUGAACCGCAUGGUUCAAAAGUGAAAGCCGGUCUUGCUGUCACUUAUAGAUGGAUCCGCGCUGCAUUAGCUAGUUGGUAAAGUAACGGCUUACCAAGGCAACGAUGCAUAGCCGACCUGCGAGGGUGAUCAGCCACACUGGAACUGAGACACGGUCCAGACUCCUACGGGGGGCAGCAGUAGGGAAUCUUCUGCAAUGGGCGAAAGCCUGGAGGAGCAACGCCGCGUGAGUGAUGAAGGUCUUCGGAUCGUAAAACUCUGUUAUUAGGGAAGAACAUAUGUGUAAGUAACUGUGCACAUCUUGACGGUACCUAAUCAGAAAGCCACGGCUAACUACGUG
This 497-nucleotide ribosomal RNA is filed under the name uncultured bacterium. RNAcentral describes it as "partial 16S ribosomal RNA". It matches the Rfam family "Bacterial small subunit ribosomal RNA", at positions 28 to 507 of the family's 1533-position model. The record is from RNAcentral.